GGAAACCAGCAGCUCGCCUAGCCCGCACGCACGCCCCCUCCGCUCGCUCGACGCCGCCGCACGUCGCCGGAGCCAUCGCCGUUGCCGCCCGUUCGCACGCGAAGCCUCGCGUGUGCGUUCGCCGUUCCACCGUCGUGCCAUCUUCCCUUCGUCCGCGCAUCCCAGCCAUCAUCCUUCGUCGUCCCGAGCUGUCCGCCGUCGCCAAGACCGCCGGAAAGCCGCCGGAGCCACCGCUAGCAACCGUUCGAGCAUCCACCGUCCUCCUUCACCGAUUUCGCACCCGAACCGCCCCCGGACGGCCCUCCUUCGAGCUUGGACAGCAGCUGGUUUUAGUGGGUAUGGCAGCCCGUGUUUGGCCCGUUUUGGCCGUCUUCCAGAGCACGGAUGCUCGGCCCGCCUUGAGGAAAGUCGAUCCUCGCGUCGUCCUCGUCGUUUUGGUUCGCUCGGUUCGCUAAUCCGGUGAGUUUAGCUCACUAAACCUUGAUUAUAGUAUUAAUGAUGCUUUAGGGGUGCUUAGUUUAUGUUAAGUGUUAUUAGGUGGUUAGUUUAAUUUAUUUAUUAGUGUAUAUUAUAUUAAUGUGUUUGAUUAACUUAAAUUGUGUUUAAUUUAAGGCUAAGUGAGUGGUUAUAUUAAUAUAAGCUUUGAUGUGACAUAAAGGAAUUUACUUUUGAUUUAUUUAAAUAUUUCCAAAUUAUUAAAUAAUUUAAUAAUAUAUUAUUACUCGAAAUUAUUAAAAUAUUAUUAUUUAAUUAUUUUCGGAAUAAAUUUAAUUAUUUAUUAAAUUUCGAAAAUUUUGUGAGGACCCUAAAUUUUCAGAAUUUCGUGCCGAUCGCUGCUGUGUAGUCAGAUUCUGAAAUUGACGAUUGGAUAUUAUAAAUUGAGUUUGGAUCGUGAAAGAUAUGGAUAUUAUUAUUUAAUUAAUUUCCAGAAUAAAUUUAAUUAUUUAAUAAAUUCUGAAAAUUAUUUUGGAACCUUAUUUUGUCAGAAUUUCGUGCUGAUCGUUGCUGUGCAUUUAGAAUUUGAAUUUGAUGAAUAGAUGUGGCAAAUUGAGUGUUGAUUGUGGUAAAUAGGGAUUUUAUUCAUAAAAAGCCAAGUGUCGGGUUCUGAUGCAAAAAUUGGAUUUUAAUAAUUAUAUUAAAUAGUGGGGUUUGAAAAAGUGAGAUAUUGGCUUUUUGAUUCGAAAUUAGCGUGUCCCUACACACGUGAGUAAUUUCUGGAAUAUUUUUAAUAUGAAGAAAAAUGGCCGGGAUCACUAUUUUAAGUGGAAGCAUUGAGUGAAAUAUAAAGUGUCAUGGGGCCGAGUAUGCUUUGGCUGUGUGAUAACUAAGAGGAAUCAUCCUGGGCUGUUGAGCCGGACUUGCCCCUAUAUGGGAUGCCCACGCGGUGGAUGUCGAUCGCAGUAGAGGCUAGGCCGACUGGAUUGAUGCUCCUUCGGGAAUGCCGUCGACGUAGUGACGAAGCCGUGCUCCAAGGGGGGGAGGCGAUGCCUGGCUAUGUGUCAGUAGAUAGCCGAACUGCGAGUAGGCUAUGCUCUUGUGUGGCAGUGAAUAACAAUUGGAAUGCAUGUUGAGUGUUGUUGAUGUGUCGGAUUAUGGGACGAAAUUGUGUGGCAUGAAUGGGACGUGUCAUAACGAUUUAGUCUUAUAAUCAGGACCCUCGCGGUUGUUGGUUAUACAAAAGUGAAUGCGUUCCGGUUGUUUAAGUUCCCGUUACUAUCUGUGAUUGAGUGAUUUGAAUUGUGCUAACCUGCAGGAAGGAAUUGAGGCGAGGUAAGUUCUCUGUGUGAUGUGGCUAGGCCACCCUUGGGCGUAUUUUCUUUCUAAUAGGAGUUUAGGGGGUUGAACUUACUGAGACAUUGUCUCAUCUCGGUUUGGGGAUUAAAAUUUCAGGUCCCUGGUAGAUGGAGCGGCCAUAUAGCUUUGGUUGGCCUUGAGGAGUUGCAGAGGUGAAGUCAUAAGGAUUGGAGAUCGUGUCCGACUUGUAGGUCGUAUGAUAGUUUCAUUUUAACAGCCGGUCUUUUGUAGACUUUUGGCCGUAGACCUCUGUUUGUAAUUCUGUUGAAUUGUGAAAGUGUCAUGUUGUGGUUUUGUUUCCUGCUUGUCUAUCC
RNAcentral lists this long non-coding RNA (2108 nucleotides) under Eucalyptus grandis. Its description in RNAcentral is "long non-coding RNA (EGRA_LNC006833)". Lineage: Eukaryota; Viridiplantae; Streptophyta; Magnoliopsida; Myrtales; Myrtaceae. The record is from RNAcentral.